Long non-coding RNA from Raphanus sativus (radish), 688 nucleotides. RefSeq lists it as uncharacterized. The record is from RefSeq and is a predicted model, not a curated record. NCBI's taxonomy places the organism in Eukaryota, Viridiplantae, Streptophyta, Magnoliopsida, Brassicales, Brassicaceae. The transcript is spliced from 2 exons.
AUUCAUUUAACCCAUUUAUAUUAUUUUUUUGACUUAAACGACAACGUAUUUUUGAUUUCUUUUCUUCUCCUUUGAUCAGAUCGCGUAAGGGCCAAGGGGAGAACAAGUCCUCCGAUCUCCUCCGAUCUCCUCCGAUUCAACCCAUCAACUCAGACGAAGGCUCUUUCUCUCUCUCUUCUCUCUCUCUUCUCCGAGACCCAUCGUCUCCUUCGAAGUUUGAAUCGAAGGCUCUUCCUCUCUCUCUUCUCCGAGACUCCGAUCGUCUCCUCCGAGCUCUCUCUCAGCCAUUAAGCUUCAUCAGUCUUCGUCCUCGACCAAACCCAUCAGCCAUUAAGGGAUUGAUUGUGUUGGAACUGUUCCUUCUUCUCUAGUUACCUUUGCUUCUCUCGUGAAGUAAACUCAAGCCUAGAAAAAGUAUGUUAUUCCCUUGUUUUCACAUGACUAUUUUGGAUUAUUCUGAAUUUGCUUAGCUAGUAGUGCCAAUUGCCAAAGAAAGUGGUGAAUAGUUAUGUUUUUUAUCUGCUUUUGUCUUGUUUUUCGAGAUGAUCAGUCUCAAGAGGUUUCUAUCAUCCUUUGUUUCUUUGUUUGUACUUUGUACUAGAGAUCAUCUCAAAAACUGUGUUCUUUGCUUCUUAUUGUUUGUUUAAAACCCAUCUCAAAAGUUUUUAUUAUUUGUUUGUACUUUGUA